This 1405-nucleotide long non-coding RNA is filed under the name Solanum tuberosum (potato). Its description in RNAcentral is "long non-coding RNA (STUB_LNC007861)". Lineage: Eukaryota; Viridiplantae; Streptophyta; Magnoliopsida; Solanales; Solanaceae. The record is from RNAcentral.
UCUUUACCUGCCCAAUCCUUUAUCUAAAUCUAUGCAACUCUUAGUGGUGCUCCGUAACAUUUUUCUCUCUUCCAGUUUUUUUGGGAAGUGGCAAGCACUUCUGAUGUUAGUAGUACUAAGAGAGUUCUGUAUGGCAAAAAAGGGAGAAGAAAAAUACUAUCGAAAAAGAGCUAGUAUCAUAAAGGGAUGAGCACCCAUAUUAGUUGGGGGAAUGGAAUGCUUUCUCCUUAUUUGUCUUGGACAAUCUUCACCUGAUGAGCUAGCUCUUGUGGGUUGAGUUUUGAUUUAUUUCCAUUUUCUUUACCUGCCCAAUCCUUUAUCUAAAUCUAUGCAACUCUUAGUGGUGCUCCGUAACAUUUUUCUCUCUUCCAGUUUUUUUGGGAAGUGGCAAGCACUUCUGAUGUUAGUAGUACUAAGAGAGUUCUGUAUGGCAAAAAAGGGAGAAGAAAAAUACUAUCGAAAAAGAGCUAGUAUCAUAAAGGGAUGAGCACCCAUAUUAGUUGGGGGAAUGGAAUGCUUUCUCCUUAUUUGUCUUGGACAAUCUUCACCUGAUGAGCUAGCUCUUGUGGGUUGAGUUUUGAUUUAUUUCCAUUUUCUUUACCUGCCCAAUCCUUUAUCUAAAUCUAUGCAACUCUUAGUGGUGCUCCGUAACAUUUUUCUCUCUUCCAGUUUUUUUGGGAAGUGGCAAGCAUUUCUGAUGUUAGAAGUACUAAGAGAGUGCUGUAUGACAAAAAAGGGAGAAGAAAAGUACUAUCGAAAAAGAGCUAGUAGCAUAAAGGGAUGAGCACCCUCUCUAUGCUGUAUGAAAGAUUCUAUGAACUGUAGCAAGGGCUCAACACUUGUUUGCCCAUUCCAAUUUCCACUAAAAGGACAUCAGAAGUAUACAGUAAUAUAAUUUUCAGUAUGGAGGACCACAACUCCUUCAAAAAACAUUGCUUUUGUUAGAUUUUAGAAUCCCCACCUGCUUUCUAGUAAAAACAACGUUCUUCUGCCCCUUCCAUACAGACUCGUUUACCCCUACUGUACCAACUUAUCCUCGGUUAUUUGGCUCUUCGAAAGAUGAUAGGAUACUGAGACAUUUCUGCCACUCUAAGCACUCACAAUCAUUGAAGUACCUUCAAAAUUUUAAAUUCCAACCAUUGCCUUCCCUGCCCUGUGUGCUAGACUGUUAAUAUCCUGCACUAUGCUUGAACAAGAGGGGAAUUGGUUUUUUAAUGGAGCGUGUGCCAAAAUUGAACUCUUCUUCUAUUGACAAUUUUGAUGUUAAUGCUCUGUGAAAACCAAGGCCAGGAUGCCCUAUUAUUUCUCCAUAUACCAUGCCCAUGUGGAGUUCCAUUUUGGUGUGCCUUUCAUUAUAGGCCACCCCUAUUGGCCUAUUCAUUAUAACAUUUCUCCAUAUCGUUGC